AGAUUGAACGCUGGCGGCAUGCCUAACACAUGCAAGUCGAACGGGAGUAGCAAUACUCUAGUGGCGGACGGGUGAGGAAUACGUAGGAAUUUGCCCUUAAGUGGGGGAUAACCCGGGGAAACCCGGAUUAAUACCGCGUGACCUCGAAAGAGCAAAGUGGGGGAUCGCAAGACCUCACGCUUUUGGAGAAGCCUACGUCGGAUUAGCUAGUUGGUGAGGUAAUGGCUCACCAAGGCGACGAUCCGUAACUGGUCUGAGAGGAUGAUCAGUCACACGGAACUGAGACACGGUCCGGACU
RNAcentral lists this ribosomal RNA (298 nucleotides) under uncultured soil bacterium. RNAcentral's name for it is "partial 16S ribosomal RNA". It matches the Rfam family "Bacterial small subunit ribosomal RNA", at positions 26 to 337 of the family's 1533-position model. The record is from RNAcentral.